AAACCAGCCUCUUGCGUGACGUCAUCCCACCGCGGCUGCUUUCCAUUUCCGCCACAGCGACUCUCUCCAUUUCUUCCUCUUUUUGCCUUGCAAACCCAGACAUUCUCAUCUGAUUACUCCGCGGCGGCGGCGGCGGCGGGAGCGGCAUCUCCGACGAGAUUCCUCUCUUGAUGGUAUCGUUGAACAAGCCAACUAAGCACAAGGAGUUGUCUCGGGUGAUGAGAUAAUUUGGUUAAGGAAGGUAGGAAGCAGUAAAUUCAAUGGGCAAUCCUUCUAUUCUCACGGAGGAUUUAGGCGAUACGUCUGACUUUGAGGUUGAUGGCGUCGAGAACCUCACGGAGAAUGAUGUCAGUGAUGAGGAGAUUGAUGCCGAGGAGCUGGCCCGACGGAUGUGGAAAGACAAGAUCAAGCUGAAGAGGAUCAAGGAGAGGCAGCAGAAGCUUGCUCUGCAGCAGGCAGCACUAGAGGAGUCCAAAACAAAGAAGAUGUCUGAGCAGGCUCUCCGCAAGAAGACGGCGAGAGUCCAGGAUGGGAUCUUGAGGUACAUGCUCAAGCUGAUGGAGGUGUGCAAUGCUCGUGGGUUUGUUUAUGGGAUCAUUCCUCAUAAAGGGAAGCCUGUCAGUGGUGCAUCGGAUAACAUUAGAGCUUGGUGGAAGGAGAAGGUUCGGUUCGAUGUGAAUGGGCCGGUUGCCAUUGCAAAGUAUGAGGUUAAGAACUCAAUGCUGGUUGAUGCUAAGCGCAGAGGGGUCUUGAACCAGCAUAGCUUGAUGGAUCUCCAGGAUGCUACCCUGGGAUCAUUGCUCUCAUCGUUGAUGCAGCAUUGCAGCCCGCAGCAGCGCAAGUACCCACUGGAUAAGGGUGUCCCUCCCCCAUGGUGGCCAUCAGGAAAUGAGGAUUGGUGGAUUUCUUUAGGCCUUCCAAUGGGAAUAUCACCACCAUACAGAAAACCGCAUGAUCUUAAGAAGGUUUGGAAGGUUGGCGUGCUGACGGGUGUGAUCAAACACAUGGCCCCAAACUUUGAUAAGAUCAGGAAUUGUGUAAGGAAAUCGAAGUGCUUGCAAGACAAAAUGACUGCUAAAGAGAGCUUGAUUUGGCUGGGAGUUCUUCGAAGAGAGGAAAUAUAUUUUCGCAGUUCUGACAAUGUUGGAUCACAGAUUACACACCGUAGUUCUCGUGAGGGAAAAAGUGAUGAUAUAUAUAGCAGCAGUGAUGAGUAUGAUGUCGACCAUUUGGAGGAACCUCCUCGCUCUUCAUCAUCCAAAGAUAAUGUGGGGCGUCGUCAGCCAACUGCGCAGAUCAGAGAGGAGCAUACCUCUAGUCGACACAACAGAGGACGCCAUGAUCAGCAACCCAAUCAAGUACUUCCUAGCAAUGAAGGGACCAAUGAAUCAAGGAAGAGAAAGAGACCUAGUGGUCAUUUACUUACUGCUGAAUCUGAGGUUGAGGUAACACAAAAAGAUGACAAUCAACUAGCCAUUGUGAGCAAUGCAUUGCCCAAUAUGAGCAGAAUAAACCAAACGGAGAUGAUGGGCAUGGCUAACCAGAUGACAAGCCUCAGCCAUGUCAAUACAACUGAAACUCUACAGCAUCAAUAUGUUCAAGGGAACUUCGUAUCUUCUCCUGCUGCUGUGGUUAAUAACUAUAACAGCAACCAGAUUACAAAUGUUAAUCCUUCAAGGAUUUAUAUGGGAUAUCAGCCUUUAGCAUGCCAAAAUAAUGGUCACACAAAUCCAUGGUCUGAAGACACUUUUCAGGUUGAUGUUGGUCCACCACCUAUUGGUUUUACUACUAAUUCUUCGUCAGGUGGUAAUCAUUCUUUUCCCAUGAAACAAUCACUACCAAAAUCUAUAGAUGAUCAUGUGCCUAUUACGGAGACAGGGGUGUUGGCUGAUAGCAGUUCAUAUGGUUAUCAUAUCACAGCCACAGGUAGUAGGAAUUCAACCUCUGUUGCUGGCCAUGGAAAUCAGCUCAUGGGAGAUCCUUUCGACAGUGGUACUGCUGAUAAGUUCAAUGGGAAUUCGUUUGAUGGAUUGCCUUUUGACUUCAUUGGUAGUAGUCCAAUCCCUGACAUCGGUGUAUUGCUAGAUGAUGAUGAUAUAAUGCCAUAUCUGGGAACAUAACCUAGGCAACUCUUUUGCAAUUGUAAGAACUGCGACAUCCAGAAAUGUAAAUGGUGGCAGAAGUUCCUGUAUCGUUCAUUAGCUAAUCGCUGAGAACUUGAGAAGGGCGCGCUCAUCAUGGCAUGCUGGUGUUCCGCUUAACCUGCUGCAACCAGUGAAGGAUGCGUCGUGCCAAUGAUCUGUAAUUUGUACCUAUCGCUUUUAAUUAGCCUGUUCUGGAUUAUUUAGCCUGGCUGUAAAAAAGCUCAUAGAAACUCGCUUAGCUGGAGAAUUUCCUGCAAUGCUGGAUGGUUGUAUACAUUUUUACCUGUGCUACCAUGUUAAUUUUGCUCAGUUACUCAUAGAUAAAUCUUGAUGUAUAUGAGACAUGUUCAUUGCAGCUAGCUCAGACAUAAUAAUACCUGAAUUCUUGCAUGCUGGAA
This is a non-coding RNA of Oryza sativa Japonica Group (Japanese rice), 2542 nucleotides long. NCBI's taxonomy places the organism in Eukaryota, Viridiplantae, Streptophyta, Magnoliopsida, Poales, Poaceae. The record is from RefSeq and is a predicted model, not a curated record.